CAGCUGAAGUAAUGAGGGUGGGGUGCACCUUUCAUUUCAAUGCAGACCAUAUAGAACUCAACAUGCAAUUUAACUCCUGAGUAUGCUUGUAUGCUCUCCGUUUUGUUACAUUUUCAUGGUUUCAUUUUAAGUUUAGUCUUUAUAGUGCAGAGAAAUGAAUAAAUAUGAUCAGUUCCUCAAUGUGGUUCCCAAUUACGACGCCAAAAUGGGCACCCGAACGCACCUCGGCAGCUCUUACCGGAGCUAUGAGAGUCGCUGCCCAAACACGGACCUUUGUUUUUGAAGUUUUGAACUACCAACGUGCUUCUACAAACCGAGACGCUGCAGCUAAUCAGACAAGCCGAGAGGACGCCGGAGAUGAAGAGCAGGUCGCGGGGGGUGCUGGAGCCUAUCCCAGCUGUCUUCGGGCGAGAGGCGGGGUACACCCUGGACUGGUUGCCUGCCAAUCACAGG
Non-coding RNA from Doryrhamphus excisus (bluestripe pipefish), 453 nucleotides. Lineage: Eukaryota; Metazoa; Chordata; Actinopteri; Syngnathiformes; Syngnathidae. The record is from RefSeq and is a predicted model, not a curated record.